Molecule: ribosomal RNA, 366 nt
Filed under: Triticum aestivum (bread wheat)
Lineage: Eukaryota; Viridiplantae; Streptophyta; Magnoliopsida; Poales; Poaceae
Description: partial small subunit ribosomal RNA
Source: RNAcentral
AUGUACACUGAGGAGGAAGCAGAAGAAGCACGUAAAGAUGGUGUCGAUCUGCUGGAAGAGGGCUGGCUGUUGGCACUCAGCCGGUCCAGCAUCUACCAGCAGAGCCUGGGCCGAUACUACAACAAGAAGGUCAGGCUGAGAUCUUUGCAAGAGGGCGACCUUGUGCUCCGACUGAUCCAGCGAACAGCCGGCCAGCACAAGCUGUCGGCACCUUGGGAAGGCCCCUUCAUUAUUAGCAAAGUGCUGGGCAACGACUCCUACUACCUGAUCGGCGCUCUGAAGCCCCGAGCACGCAAGAGGGACGACUCCGGCAAAGAGAUGGAACGCCCAUGGAAUGCAAAUCUUCUCCGAAGAUUUUACAGUUGA